UACGAAGGGGGCGAGCGUUGUUCGGAAUUACUGGGCGUAAAGGGCGCGUAGGCGGCCCCUUUUGUCGCGUGUGAAAGCCCCGGGCUCAACCUGGGAGGUGCGCGCGAAACGGGGGGGCUUGAGUUCGGGAGAGGAGAGUGGAAUUCCCAGUGUAGAGGUGAAAUUCGUAGAUAUUGGGAAGAACACCGGUGGCGAAGGCGGCCAUCUGGACCGGUUCUGACGCUGAGGCGCGAAAGCGUGGGGAGCAAACAGG
Molecule: ribosomal RNA, 253 nt
Filed under: uncultured bacterium
Lineage: Bacteria
Description: partial 16S ribosomal RNA
Rfam family: Bacterial small subunit ribosomal RNA
Source: RNAcentral